RNAcentral lists this ribosomal RNA (508 nucleotides) under uncultured bacterium. Its description in RNAcentral is "partial 16S ribosomal RNA". It matches the Rfam family "Bacterial small subunit ribosomal RNA", at positions 28 to 507 of the family's 1533-position model. The record is from RNAcentral.
GACGAACGCUGGCGGCGUGCUUAACACAUGCAAGUCGAACGGGCCUUGUCCCCUUUUUUUUUGGGGGUGGGGUUAGUGGCGAACGGGUGAGUAACACGUGAGUAACCUGCCCCUCACUUCUGGAUAACCGCUUGAAAGGGUGGCUAAUACGGGGUGUUCUGGCCUGCUCGCAUGGGUGGGUUUGGAAAGAUUCGACCGGUUUUGGUUGUUUUGGUGGGGGAUGGGCUCGCGGCCUAUCAGCUUGUUGGUGGGGUGAUGGCCUGCCAAGGCUUUGACGGGUAGCCGGCCUGAGAGGGUGGGCGGUCACACUGGGACUGAGACACGGCCCAGACUCCUACGGGAGGCAGCAGUGGGGAAUAUUGCACAAUGGGCGCAAGCCUGAUGCAGCGACGCCGCGUGAGGGAUUGAGGCCUUCGGGUUGGGAACCUCUUUCGCCAGUGAAGAAGGUCCUGCUCUUUGUGGUGGGGUUGACGGUAGCUGGGUUAAUGAAGCGCCGGCUAACUACGUG